GGGGUUGUGGCUCAGUGGCAGAGCAUUUGCCUAGCAUGCGUGAGGCACUGGGUUCGAUUCCUGGCACCA
Molecule: transfer RNA, 69 nt
Filed under: Marmota monax (woodchuck)
Lineage: Eukaryota; Metazoa; Chordata; Mammalia; Rodentia; Sciuridae
Also listed under: 1 other name
Rfam family: tRNA
About the family: Transfer RNA (tRNA) molecules are approximately 80 nucleotides in length. Their secondary structure includes four short double-helical elements and three loops (D, anti-codon, and T loops). Further hydrogen bonds mediate the characteristic L-shaped molecular structure. tRNAs have two regions of fundamental functional importance: the anti-codon, which is responsible for specific mRNA codon recognition, and the 3' end, to which the tRNAs corresponding amino acid is attached (by aminoacyl-tRNA synthetases). tRNAs cope with the degeneracy of the genetic code in two manners: having more than one tRNA (with a specific anti-codon) for a particular amino acid; and 'wobble' base-pairing, i.e. permitting non-standard base-pairing at the 3rd anti-codon position.
Source: Rfam by way of RNAcentral